GGUUAAGCGACUAAGCGUACACGGUGGAUGCCCUGGCAGUCAGAGGCGAUGAAGGACGUGCUAAUCUGCGAAAAGCGUCGGUAAGGUGAUAUGAACCGUUAUAACCGGCGAUGUCCGAAUGGGGAAACCCAGUGUGAUUCGUCACACUAUCGUUAACUGAAUACAUAGGUUAACGAGGCGAACCGGGGGAACUGAAACAUCUAAGUACCCCGAGGAAAAGAAAUCAACCGAGAUUCCCCCAGUAGCGGCGAGCGAACGGGGAGCAGCCCAGAGUCUGAAUCAGCUUGUGUGUUAGUGGAACGGUCUGGAAAGUCCGACGGUACAGGGUGAUAGUCCCGUACACCAAAAUGCACAGGUUGUGAACUCGAAGAGUAGGGCGGGACACGUGGUAUCCUGUCUGAAUAUGGGGGGACCAUCCUCCAAGGCUAAAUACUCCUGACUGACCGAUAGUGAACCAGUACCGUGAGGGAAAGGCGAAAAGAACCCCGGCGAGGGGAGUGAAAAAGAACCUGAAACCGUGUACGUACAAGCAGUGGGAGCACCUUCGGGUGUGACUGCGUACCUUUUGUAUAAUGGGUCAGCGACUUAUAUUCUGUAGCAAGGUUAACCGUAUAGGGGAGCCGCAGGGAAACCGAGUCUUAACUGGGCGUUAAGUUGCAGGGUAUAGACCCGAAACCCGGUGAUCUAGCCAUGGGCAGGUUGAAGGUUGGGUAACACUAACUGGAGGACCGAACCGACUAAUGUUGAAAAAUUAGCGGAUGACUUGUGGCUGGGGGUGAAAGGCCAAUCAAACCGGGAGAUAGCUGGUUCUCCCCGAAAGCUAUUUAGGUAGCGCCUCGUGAACUCAUCUUCGGGGGUAGAGCACUGUUUCGGCUAGGGGGUCAUCCCGACUUACCAACCCGAUGCAAACUACGAAUACCGAAGAAUGUUAUCACGGGAGACACACGGCGGGUGCUAACGUCCGUCGUGAAGAGGGAAACAACCCAGACCGCCAGCUAAGGUCCCAAAGUCAUGGUUAAGUGGGAAACGAUGUGGGAAGGCACAGACAGCCAGGAUGUUGGCUUAGAAGCAGCCAUCAUUUAAAGAAAGCGUAAUAGCUCACUGGUCGAGUCGGCCUGCGCGGAAGAUGUAACGGGGCUAAACCAUGCACCGAAGCUGCGGCAGCGACACUAUGUGUUGUUGGGUAGGGGAGCGUUCUGUAAGCCUGCGAAGGUGUGCUGUGAGGCAUGCUGGAGGUAUCAGAAGUGCGAAUGCUGACAUAAGUAACGAUAAAGCGGGUGAAAAGCCCGCUCGCCGGAAGACCAAGGGUUCCUGUCCAACGUUAAUCGGGGCAGGGUGAGUCGACCCCUAAGGCGAGGCCGAAAGGCGUAGUCGAUGGGAAACAGGUUAAUAUUCCUGUACUUGGUGUUACUGCGAAGGGGGGACGGAGAAGGCUAUGUUAGCCGGGCGACGGUUGUCCCGGUUUAAGCAUGUAGGCUGAUUGUCCAGGCAAAUCCGGAUAAUCAAGGCUGAGGUGUGAUGACGAGGCACUACGGUGCUGAAGUAACAAAUGCCCUGCUUCCAGGAAAAGCCUCUAAGCAUCAGGUAACAUCAAAUCGUACCCCAAACCGACACAGGUGGUCAGGUAGAGAAUACCAAGGCGCUUGAGAGAACUCGGGUGAAGGAACUAGGCAAAAUGGUGCCGUAACUUCGGGAGAAGGCACGCUGGUGUGUAGGUGAAGUCCCUGCGGAUGGAGCUGAGACCAGUCGAAGAUACCAGCUGGCUGCAACUGUUUAUUAAAAACACAGCACUGUGCAAACACGAAAGUGGACGUAUACGGUGUGACGCCUGCCCGGUGCCGGAAGGUUAAUUGAUGGGGUUAUCCGUAAGGAGAAGCUCUUGAUCGAAGCCCCGGUAAACGGCGGCCGUAACUAUAACGGUCCUAAGGUAGCGAAAUUCCUUGUCGGGUAAGUUCCGACCUGCACGAAUGGCGUAAUGAUGGCCAGGCUGUCUCCACCCGAGACUCAGUGAAAUUGAACUCGCUGUGAAGAUGCAGUGUACCCGCGGCAAGACGGAAAGACCCCGUGAACCUUUACUAUAGCUUGACACUGAACAUUGAGCCUUGAUGUGUAGGAUAGGUGGGAGGCUUUGAAGCGUGGACGCCAGUCUGCGUGGAGCCAACCUUGAAAUACCACCCUUUAAUGUUUGAUGUUCUAACGUUGGCCCCUGACCGGGGUUGCGGACAGUGUCUGGUGGGUAGUUUGACUGGGGCGGUCUCCUCCCAAAGCGUAACGGAGGAGCACGAAGGUUAGCUAAUCCUGGUCGGACAUCAGGAGGUUAGUGCAAUGGCAUAAGCUAGCUUGACUGCGAGCGUGACGGCGCGAGCAGGUGCGAAAGCAGGUCAUAGUGAUCCGGUGGUUCUGAAUGGAAGGGCCAUCGCUCAACGGAUAAAAGGUACUCCGGGGAUAACAGGCUGAUACCGCCCAAGAGUUCAUAUCGACGGCGGUGUUUGGCACCUCGAUGUCGGCUCAUCACAUCCUGGGGCUGAAGUAGGUCCCAAGGGUAUGGCUGUUCGCCAUUUAAAGUGGUACGCGAGCUGGGUUUAGAACGUCGUGAGACAGUUCGGUCCCUAUCUGCCGUGGGCGCUGGAGAAUUGAGGGGGGCUGCUCCUAGUACGAGAGGACCGGAGUGGACGCAUCACUGGUGUUCGGGUUGUCAUGCCAAUGGCACUGCCCGGUAGCUAAAUGCGGAAGAGAUAAGUGCUGAAAGCAUCUAAGCACGAAACUUGCCCCGAGAUGAGUUCUCCCUGAGACUUUAAGUCUCCUGAAGGAACGUUGAAGACGACGACGUUGAUAGGCCGGGUGUGUAAGCGCAGCGAUGCGUUGAGCUAACCGGUACUAAUGAACCGUGAGGCUUAACCUU
This 2902-nucleotide ribosomal RNA is filed under the name Klebsiella pneumoniae. RNAcentral describes it as "23S ribosomal RNA". It matches the Rfam family "Bacterial large subunit ribosomal RNA". The record is from RNAcentral. RNAcentral also lists the same sequence under 1 other name. Lineage: Bacteria; Pseudomonadati; Pseudomonadota; Gammaproteobacteria; Enterobacterales; Enterobacteriaceae.